RNAcentral lists this ribosomal RNA (389 nucleotides) under uncultured bacterium. RNAcentral describes it as "bacterial SSU rRNA". It matches the Rfam family "Bacterial small subunit ribosomal RNA", at positions 28 to 419 of the family's 1533-position model. The record is from RNAcentral.
GACGAACGCUGGCGGCGUGCUUAACACAUGCAAGUCGAGCGGUAAGGCCCUUUCGGGGGUACACGAGCGGCGAACGGGUGAGUAACACGUGGGUGACCUGCCCUCAGCUCUGGGAUAAGCCUGGGAAACCGGGUCUAAUACCGGAUAUGACUCCAUGACGCAUGUUGUGGGGUGAAAGCCUUGUGCGGCUGAGGAUGGGCCCGCGGCCUAUCAGCUUGUUGGUGGGGUGAUGGCCUACCAAGGCGACGACGGGUAGCCGGCCUGAGAGGGCGACCGGCCACACUGGGACUGAGACACGGCCCAGACUCCUACGGGAGGCAGCAGUGGGGAAUCUUGCGCAAUGGGCGAAAGCCUGACGCAGCGACGCCGCGUGAGGGAUGACGGCCUGG